This 468-nucleotide ribosomal RNA is filed under the name uncultured bacterium. RNAcentral describes it as "partial 16S ribosomal RNA". It matches the Rfam family "Bacterial small subunit ribosomal RNA", at positions 28 to 507 of the family's 1533-position model. The record is from RNAcentral.
GACGAACGCUGGCGGCGUGCUUAACACAUGCAAGUCGAACGGAAAGGCCCUGCUUUUGUGGGGUGCUCGAGUGGCGAACGGGUGAGUAACACGAGAGUAACCUGCCCUUGACUUUGGGAUAACUUCAGGAAACUGGGGCUAAUACCGGAUAGGAGCUCCUGCUGCAUGGUGGGGGUUGGAAAGUUUCGGCGGUUGGGGAUGGACUCGCGGCUUAUCAGCUUGUUGGUGGGGUAGUGGCUUACCAAGGCUUUGACGGGUAGCCGGCCUGAGAGGGUGACCGGCCACAUUGGGACUGAGAUACGGCCCAGACUCCUACGGGAGGCAGCAGUGGGGAAUAUUGCACAAUGGGCGGAAGCCUGAUGCAGCAACGCCGCGUGCGGGAUGACGGCCUUAGGGUUGUAAACCGCUUUCGCCUGUGACGAAGCGUGAGUGACGGUAAUGGGUAAAGAAGCACCGGCUAACUACGUG